GGGGCUGAAUUGGCUUCGACGGGAACAUUUACAACCAAAGUACGCAAGCGGAAAGUUAUCUGCCUAAUUGGUAACAACAAUUACGUGCAAACGUAUUAAGUCGUGCUAAAGCUACUUUAGCUAACGCGUUUAGCUUUAGCCCGGUCUUAGCCCUCGCCUAAACCCGAGAGCCGUAACAAGCCUUAACUCCGAUGGAGACUUGUUGCGCCAUAUUAUCGGAUGCUUGUCUAAGAGGCAUCGUUUAGACACUAAGAAUUGAUGCUGGAAAAUACAGUGUUUUGUCUGUUUAGAGCUGUAUUUUCAAGAAAAAUAAAACAAACUAAGCUUGUAGACACUUUGGUCGUUAGUUUUCGGACCCGAGUUCGAUCCUCGGCAGCUCCACCA
This 384-nucleotide transfer-messenger RNA is filed under the name Candidatus Berkelbacteria bacterium. It matches the Rfam family "transfer-messenger RNA". Rfam says of the family: Bacterial tmRNA, also known as 10Sa RNA or SsrA, is named for its dual tRNA and mRNA-like properties. Its role is to liberate the mRNA from a stalled ribosome. The record is from RNAcentral. Lineage: Bacteria; Candidatus Berkelbacteria.